GGACGAACGCUGGCGGCGUGCCUAAUACAUGCAAGUCGAACGAACGGAGGAAGAGCUUGCUCUUCCAAAGUUAGUGGCGGACGGGUGAGUAACACGUGGGCAACCUGCCUGUAAGUUGGGGAUAACUCCGGGAAACCGGGGCUAAUACCGAAUGAUARARUGUGGCGCAUGCCACGCUUUUGAAAGAUGGUUUCGGCUAUCGCUUACAGAUGGGCCCGCGGUGCAUUAGCUAGUUGGUAGGGUAAUGGCCUACCAAGGCAACGAUGCAUAGCCGACCUGAGAGGGUGAUCGGCCACACUGGGACUGAGACACGGCCCAGACUCCUACGGGAGGCAGCAGUAGGGAAUCUUCCGCAAUGGACGAAAGUCUGACGGAGCAACGCCGCGUGUAUGAAGAAGGUUUUCGGAUCGUAAAGUACUGUUGUUAGAGAAGAACAAGGAUAAGAGUAACUGCUUGUCCCUUGACGGUAUCUAACC
RNAcentral lists this ribosomal RNA (476 nucleotides) under Listeria monocytogenes. RNAcentral describes it as "bacterial SSU rRNA". It matches the Rfam family "Bacterial small subunit ribosomal RNA", at positions 27 to 484 of the family's 1533-position model. The record is from RNAcentral. Lineage: Bacteria; Bacillati; Bacillota; Bacilli; Caryophanales; Listeriaceae.